GACGAACGCUGGCGGCGUGCCUAAUACAUGCAAGUCGAGCGGACAGAAGGGAGCUUGCUCCCGGAUGUUAGCGGCGGACGGGUGAGUAACACGUGGGUAACCUGCCUGUAAGACUGGGAUAACUCCGGGAAACCGGAGCUAAUACCGGAUAGUUCCUUGAACCGCAUGGUUCAAGGAUGAAAGACGGUUUCGGCUGUCACUUACAGAUGGACCCGCGGCGCAUUAGCUAGUUGGUGGGGUAAUGGCUCACCAAGGCGACGAUGCGUAGCCGACCUGAGAGGGUGAUCGGCCACACUGGGACUGAGACACGGCCCAGACUCCUACGGGAGGCAGCAGUAGGGAAUCUUCCGCAAUGGACGAAAGUCUGACGGAGCAACGCCGCGUGAGUGAUGAAGGUUUUCGGAUCGUAAAGCUCUGUUGUUAGGGAAGAACAAGUGCGAGAGUAACUGCUCGCACCUUGACGGUACCUAACCAGAAAGCCACGGCUAACUACGUGCCAGCAGCCGCGGUAAUACGUAGGUGGCAAGCGUUGUCCGGAAUUAUUGGGCGUAAAGGGCUCGCAGGCGGUUUCUUAAGUCUGAUGUGAAAGCCCCCGGCUCAACCGGGGAGGGUCAUUGGAAACUGGGAAACUUGAGUGCAGAAGAGGAGAGUGGAAUUCCACGUGUAGCGGUGAAAUGCGUAGAGAUGUGGAGGAACACCAGUGGCGAAGGCGACUCUCUGGUCUGUAACUGACGCUGAGGAGCGAAAGCGUGGGGAGCGAACAGGAUUAGAUACCCUGGUAGUCCACGCCGUAAACGAUGAGUGUAAGGUGUUUAGGGGGUUUCCGCCCCUUAGUGCUGCAGCUAACGCAUUAAGCACUCCGCCUGGGGGAGUACGGUCGCAAGACUGAAACUCAAAGGAAUUGACGGGGGCCCGCACAAGCGGUGGAGCAUGUGGUUUAAUUCGAAGCAACGCGAAGAACCUUACCAGGUCUUGACAUCCUCUGACAACCCUAGAGAUAGGGCUUUCCCUUCGGGGACAGAGUGACAGGUGGUGCAUGGUUGUCGUCAGCUCGUGUCGUGAGAUGUUGGGUUAAGUCCCGCAACGAGCGCAACCCUUGAUCUUAGUUGCCAGCAUUUAGUUGGGCACUCUAAGGUGACUGCCGGUGACAAACCGGAGGAAGGUGGGGAUGACGUCAAAUCAUCAUGCCCCUUAUGACCUGGGCUACACACGUGCUACAAUGGACAGAACAAAGGGCUGCAAGACCGCAAGGUUUAGCCAAUCCCAUAAAUCUGUUCUCAGUUCGGAUCGCAGUCUGCAACUCGACUGCGUGAAGCUGGAAUCGCUAGUAAUCGCGGAUCAGCAUGCCGCGGUGAAUACGUUCCCGGGCCUUGUACACACCGCCCGUCACACCACGAGAGUUUGCAACACCCGAAGUCGGUGAGGUAACCUUCAUGGAGCCAGCCGCCGAAGGUGGGGCAGAUGAUUGGGGUGAAG
Molecule: ribosomal RNA, 1476 nt
Filed under: Bacillus australimaris
Lineage: Bacteria; Bacillati; Bacillota; Bacilli; Caryophanales; Bacillaceae
Description: bacterial SSU rRNA
Rfam family: Bacterial small subunit ribosomal RNA
Source: RNAcentral